UCGCUUCUUUCACUUUUCAGAGGCUUUUUAAAUAUGAAAGAAGCAAUCUGAUUGGUUGUCAUGGGCAACUUAGCAACUUUUCCUCUUCACAGGUUUUGAUAAAUCUUCCCCGGUGUUUUUGUCAAAAAUGCCACAAAGAUGGCAUCUUUGGGAGAAAAAAAAAAAGGAGGGAGCUGUUUUUUUGUGGUGUUUUUUUAUUUUUGGCCAAAAAAGCCUCAUUGUGUCUGUUCCUAGGCUUGGGCUGGGAUUAAACACAACUUAUGUGUGACGCUUUUCAAAGCCCACAUUGCUUUACCCUUGGCAUCCCCCCCCCCCCCUCGUUCUGACAGAUGUCUGUCCAGCUGUUGCAAAUCAACAACUACCAGCAUGCCCUGCCCAUUUGCAACAACUGGACAGCCACAGGGGAUCACUGAUGUUCUAUGUCAAACUCAGCCUAUGCUGCCUGAUCUUGAACUAGCAACGUCAGGGGCGUCACUCGUCAGACUUCCCGGCAGCCAGCGAUGCUCAUUGAGCCUCCCGGAGCAGCACUGAUGAGGAGGUAACAGCGUGUCAUACAUGUGAUGUCAUAACCAUUGUCCACCAGAGAGCAGCACUGAGCAGAAAUAACACGGCUCCUGCUCAUUGUUCAUCAGUGAGGGGCCAAUGCUGGACACUGUUGGGACCUGAGAAUGCAGAUUCAUACACAUGACUGUGACUGAUGCACUAUUUUCAGGAUGUGGAGUCGCAUUACCGGACUUACAGCAAGAAGUUGCAUGAAGGCACUGCCCCUCGAAUCACGCACAUACACAGACACUUUGCCCAAAUUCUAGAGGUAACCUCCUUUAGUAUGCCCAGAGGAAAGGCAAUACAGUAGCCAUGGAUUCCCUACAGGU
Long non-coding RNA from Hyla sarda, 872 nucleotides. RefSeq lists it as uncharacterized. The transcript has 2 exons. The record is from RefSeq and is a predicted model, not a curated record. NCBI's taxonomy places the organism in Eukaryota, Metazoa, Chordata, Amphibia, Anura, Hylidae.